CAUACACACACAUUUAUUUUCAUGUAUGUAUAUAUGUAUGUGUAUAUAUAUAUACAUAUAUAUAUAUAUAUAUAUAUAUAUAUAUACACAUACAUAUAUACAUACAUGAAAAUAAAUGUGUGUGUAUG
Molecule: microRNA precursor, 128 nt
Filed under: Marmota monax (woodchuck)
Lineage: Eukaryota; Metazoa; Chordata; Mammalia; Rodentia; Sciuridae
Source: RNAcentral